RNAcentral lists this ribosomal RNA (425 nucleotides) under uncultured bacterium. RNAcentral describes it as "bacterial SSU rRNA". It matches the Rfam family "Bacterial small subunit ribosomal RNA", at positions 354 to 776 of the family's 1533-position model. The record is from RNAcentral.
GUGGGGAAUAUUGGUCAAUGGGCGUAAGCCUGAACCAGCCAAGUCGCGUGAGGGAUGAAGGUUCUAUGGAUCGUAAACCUCUUUUAUAAGGGAAUAAAGGGUGGGACGUGUCCUAUUUUGUAUGUACCUUAUGAAUAAGGAUCGGCUAACUCCGUGCCAGCAGCCGCGGUAAUACGGAGGAUCCGGGCGUUAUCCGGAUUUAUUGGGUUUAAAGGGUGCGUAGGCGGCCUUUUAAGUCAGCGGUGAAAGCCCGUGGCUCAACCAUGGAAUUGCCGUUAAAACUGGGAGGCUUGAGUAUGUUUGAGGCAGGCGGAAUGCGUGGUGUAGCGGUGAAAUGCUUAGAUAUCACGAAGAACCCCGAUUGCGAAGGCAGCCUGCCAAGCCAUGACUGACGCUGAUGCACGAAAGCGUGGGGAUCAAACAGG